This 69-nucleotide ribosomal RNA is filed under the name Chitinispirillales bacterium. RNAcentral describes it as "partial 16S ribosomal RNA". It matches the Rfam family "Bacterial small subunit ribosomal RNA", at positions 1465 to 1533 of the family's 1533-position model. Lineage: Bacteria; Pseudomonadati; Fibrobacterota; Chitinispirillia; Chitinispirillales. The record is from RNAcentral.
AGGCUGUUGAUUGGGGCUAAGUCGUAACAAGGUAGCCGUAUCGGAAGGUGCGGCUGGAUCACCUCCUUU